RNAcentral lists this ribosomal RNA (435 nucleotides) under uncultured Lachnospiraceae bacterium. Its description in RNAcentral is "partial 16S ribosomal RNA". It matches the Rfam family "Bacterial small subunit ribosomal RNA", at positions 341 to 792 of the family's 1533-position model. Lineage: Bacteria; Bacillati; Bacillota; Clostridia; Lachnospirales; Lachnospiraceae. The record is from RNAcentral.
ACGGAAGGCAGCAGUGGGGAAUAUUGCACAAUGGGGGGAACCCUGAUGCAGCGACGCCGCGUGAGCGAAGAAGUAUUUCGGUAUGUAAAGCUCUAUCAGCAGGGAAGAAACAGGACGGUACCUGCACAAGAAGCCCCGGCUAACUACGUGCCAGCAGCCGCGGUAAUACGUAGGGGGCGAGCGUUAUCCGGAUUUACUGGGUGUAAAGGGAGCGUAGACGGCUGUGCAAGUCUGGAGUGAAACUCCGGGGCUCAACUCCGGAACUGCUCUGGAAACUGUGCGGCUCGAGUACCGGAGGGGCAGGCGGAACUCCUAGUGUAGCGGUGAAAUGCGUAGAUAUUAGGAGGAACACCAGUGGCGAAGGCGGCUUGCUGGACGACAACUGACGCUGAGGCGCGAAAGCGUGGGGAGCAAACAGGAUUAGAUACCCUGGUA